ACUCACCGACGGGUCUCGCGCGCUCCGGUGUGCUGAGUAGUAGAGCGCUGGGCUUUUCACCGGAAGCCGCUGAGAGACACCGUCCUGGAGCAAUGCAGAGUAAUGAGGCGUAAACCUCCUCACGGCUUGCAAACAACGUCGCAUCAUAAUGAAGAGAUAUCAGUGUUAAUAAAUAAACAAAUAUUCCACUCCACACGUUUGUUCAAAACAUGAUACCGGCGGCUGCUGCUGCUAAAAUCUGCACAGCGACAUGCUUUAUAACUUAACCAUACGGUUUCUGUUCAUAUCGGAACAAAAUAAUAUUUCUUCUGGUGAACGAGUUGUUAAUAAAAGCUCGAAAACAGCAUUGGGCCGGUGACUCUAAGGGCAGCUAAAAGACACUGACGUCAGGUCAUCUACUCCUCCUACUUCCUGGAGACGGAGGGAAGAUCGAGAAAGCAGUAAGGCAUGCUAAACUGGAAAGGAUCAGUAACGUUACACACAGAUCAGAACUUGAAGAAACCACCCAAACUGGUUUUGUCAAGGCUUUGUGUCAGGAGCACACCUGUCAGAGAGAGGCGAGGGUGGGUCAUGUUGCUCUCAUACUGGUGUGUAGGGAGGCACUGCGCCGAGUUCUGGAGGAAGAGAGACAACUUUAUGCUAAAGAACUGAGCCAAAAAGGCCUGGCCAUUUAUCAGCAAAGGAUAUAAUCUAUUACACUGAAAUACACUCAACAAACCUUCCUGAUCCUCCUUACGUACUAACAGCUGUCACGUCCUUGUUUUCACUACCAUAAUCACAAUUUUCAGAUAAAGCCUACAAAAAACCCCUGUGUUAUUUCUGUCUAUUUAGCAAUACUAUAAUGUACA
Neoarius graeffei (lesser salmon catfish) is the source of this 848-nucleotide long non-coding RNA. RefSeq lists it as uncharacterized. The transcript is spliced from 4 exons. The record is from RefSeq and is a predicted model, not a curated record. NCBI's taxonomy places the organism in Eukaryota, Metazoa, Chordata, Actinopteri, Siluriformes, Ariidae.